This is a long non-coding RNA of Sarcophilus harrisii (Tasmanian devil), 1146 nucleotides long. RefSeq lists it as uncharacterized. Lineage: Eukaryota; Metazoa; Chordata; Mammalia; Dasyuromorphia; Dasyuridae. The record is from RefSeq and is a predicted model, not a curated record. The transcript has 4 exons.
AACGCAGAUCUAGAACCAAGUCCAAUGACCAACGCUGCACAACACCUCUCAGAAUAAGAAUAUUGGCAGCACCUGCCCCGUGGGUGAGGCGGAGCUAGGGAAAACACCCAGAGCCCCCCACAACACAGUUAAAGAUGUUAACUUGCCUCAUCCUGGUCUCUCUGACUUCUGGCCAAAGCUUUGAGAGUUUCAGGCUUAUGCCCUGAAGAGGAUUUGGGAAGAUCACAUUGGAGCCAGAGGGAAAGCUGCUGAUGGCAGAUUACUCCGGGGCAGCAAGUAACAGAGACGGCCAGGUCGUGAAAGUCUCUAGUCUUCCCCUUAUUUACUUUCUGGGGAAGCGGAACAUAAAUUUAAGAAAAUUCUGGCUGAGGAUAAGGUAUCAUUUCUCGAAGAUGGGUUUGAAAACGUAUACUCCACAAGGAAAAGCCACACUCAUCCUCUACAGGGAAAGUGGCCAGUGUUUUAUGAUUUUGUCUCCGUGUGAAAAUCUUUAUCACUGACCCGAGAAUAUACUCAUCUCUCCCACCCAGAAACAUGCCUUCAUUUUCAGACAACCAACGGGAUGACCACCUGUUCACUUCUCGCAGUUCCCAGACUGAGGUCAGAACACCUGAUUUUGAAUCCUGGCUCCAAGACUUGGAAAGUUUAGGAAGCACUGAAGCAGGAAAGAUGAGGCUCUCAAGGCCUUAGUUAACUUUUUUUUGUCUGAGUCUCAGCCAUUUAAGAGAGAAUGAAAUCUGAAAUCAUUUGAAUAGAACCUAGUCUACCUACUCAGCGAUAUUCCCUACCACAAGAAAACACAGGUUUCCAUCUUGGAAUUUGUGAAAAAGAUGAAGCAUAGAAACAAGAAUCUAAUGUGUGACUUGGAUUUGGAGAGAACAAAUUUUAAAACAUUAACAGAAAAGAAUAUGCCUGAAACUUCUGGAAGAAAACAAAAGAAGACAGAGGAAGGGCAGAAGUUACUCCAAAAUACAAGUUCAUCUGCUACAUUCUUCCCACAGAUUUCCUAAGAUCUAGUGAACAGAAAAAUUCUGAGGCUCAGGAAUUUGAUGAAAAACAGACUGGAGUUCUUAAUGAUACCAAGAGAGAAACAGAAGGCUAGGAUCUUUCCCCCUUUUUCCUUUAAAAGUAAACUUUAAAGUUGAA